UAACGUUCCUUCGGGAACGUUGGAGCGGCGGACGGGUGAGUAACGCGUGGGCAAUCUGCCCUCUAGCCUGGGAUAACAGUUCGAAAGGACUGCUAACACCGGAUAUUAUGAUUCCGAGGCAUCUUGGGAUUAUGAAAGUUUACACUAGAGGAUGAGCCCGCGUCCCAUUAGCUAGUUGGUGAGGUAACGGCCCACCAAGGCGACGAUGGGUAGCCGACCUGAGAGGGUGAACGGCCACACUGGGACUGAGACACGGCCCAGACUCCUACGGGAGGCAGCAGUGG
RNAcentral lists this unclassified non-coding RNA (284 nucleotides) under uncultured bacterium. Its description in RNAcentral is "partial contains 16S ribosomal RNA and 16S-23S ribosomal RNA intergenic spacer region". It matches the Rfam family "Bacterial small subunit ribosomal RNA", at positions 70 to 357 of the family's 1533-position model. The record is from RNAcentral.